UGAGAUUACCUUCUGCACUAUCUUUAUUUUCUUACAUUCUAUCCCCCCACACUCUGCAAUGUCUGGGCUGGCAUAUUCUUGCUAUGAAUGACAGGCCCUGGUCAUCACUUUUGGUGUACCUUGAAUGCUAGUUUAAAAUUCUCUAACUCUUGAAAUUUGGAUAGAGACAAGCUUUUAAACAUUUUUUUUAAAAUAAGGUACCGUAGCUAUAGUGUUAUGAUGUAGAAGCCUUCUUGCCUCCUACAGAACUUUGUUUUCAUGCAAAAGAAAAGCCUGGCAGAGGUAUUGCAGUAAGAGGGGCAAACAGCAUUUGAAUUUCUCAUGCCAGCUCCACUACUAGACAGCUGAGAAAGUCAUUCCUGCUGUUCAUGUGGUAUUUUCAUUUAGCUAUCUUCUAAAAUGAUCUGAAGUAAUUAAAGGCCUCCCUUUAUUUUUUCCCCUUGGACAUAAUUGAACAUCUUAUAUACAUGAAGGAUGUCAGUCAAAACUCUGAAUAUCACAAUACUAGAUUUUGAUUGAUAUGUUAUAAACAAACAAUCAUCAGUAAUUCAAGCACUCUAACAAAGUGCUGCAAAUAUCUUUUCCUAAGAGAAGCUGGCAGUUGACAGUACCUGGGAUGGAAGAGUGGAAAAGGGGGGACCUCCAUCAUCAACACUGCAAGAGGAGGACCAGCAGAUUUUCACAACAGCAGAAUUUCACUAGUUAUUGGAGUUCAGCUUUCCCAAUUCAAUUCACAAACCACAGCUUAUUCAUUAUGUGCUUGCAGCAAUUCUUUUGGCUUAUAUAAACUUGUGACUAUUGUUAUCCAAGUUUUAGAAUUUCUUUGCUAUUCUCUUACUUGAGGGUAAUUUUAGCUACAGUUGUGUACUAGAGUAGUUCAGCUAAAUUAAAACAGAGAGAGUUUCUGACUGAUAUCUACAAUUUCUCUCUACUCAGGUUCUCAAAUCCCUUGCACUGCAUUUAUUCUGUAUCAACAGCUGCACUUAGUAGAGAGUUAUGCUUUUCUCAUCAGUCAGCUAUGGACAUGCAAAUUUGCUUCUUACGUGUUCCCCUUAGGAGUCUAAUUUAUAAACAUGAAAUAACAUUCCCAUAAUCUGUAACUGCUUCCAAAAGAUAUCUGUUUCCACAUACAGAUAAUAGCACAGCUUUCAAGCACCUAUCAGAAUAUGAAAAUAAAACAACUCCCUCUCCAUCUACUUGCUACCUAUCCAAGUACCCAAAUAGGGAAAUUCAAUAUAUGACUUAAACAGAUUUUAAAUUGAAAAUAAUUUUCAUGAGGAAUGGAACGUGCUGUAUUUCUUAGCAUAAGAAAGGCACAGAAAGUUUGGACUGGAAUACUUGAUGUAAUCUCUCUAUAGACAUUCCCACAAAAAAUUUACUGCAUAAGGACAACAACUUUUCAUGUCCUUCCUUCAAAUAUUUAUCUUUAGUUGUAUUUUUUAAGGAGGUAUUCCACAUAACCCAAAUUUGAUUACUCUAUUUCCUUCAAAGAAGAGGAUGUUUUUUGCAUAAAAACUGUAUCAUAAAAUCACAGAAUCAUAGAAUCACAAAAUCAACAGGGUGGUUGAUGUUGUAAGGAGACACUGAAGAUCAUCUCAUCCAAUCCCCAUGCUCAAGCAGGACCAUCUCCAGCCAGUCUCCCAACACCAUGGCCAGAUGACUUUUGAUAUCUGCAAGGAUGGAGACCCCACAACAUCCCUGGACAGCCUGUGUUUCCAAAUGCCAGGGCUCGGUCCUGCUCACAGUGGCAGUGUUUUCUGAUGUGCACACAGAGCCUCCUGUGUUUCAGUGUGUCCUGCCUGGGGACGCCACAGAAAAGAGCCUGGCUCCGUCUUCUUUGCACCAUCCCUGCAGACACCUACCCCUAUAGAUGAGACACCCCCUGAACCUCCUCCAGGCCAAGCUCACUCUCAGCCUUUUGCUGCAGAAGAGAUGCAGCAUCAUCAUCUGUGUGUCCCAUCACAAGAUGCUGCCCAGUACAUCCAUUUCUCUUUUCCCUGGGAAGCCCAGCGCUGGCACUCUGCACUCCAGCUCUGGCCUCCCCAGUGCUGAGCAGAGCAGAAGAAACCCCUCCCUCAACCUGCAGGCAGCGUGUUGUUAACACAGCACAAUUCACUGCUGCUGGCCAGAAUGCUUCAAAGACGUUUUUGGUAGGUGACAUCUUUUUGAGCUUCAUCAAAUCUGAUACCACAGCUUUCAAAUCAUACACUCUUUUCCCCUUGAGUGCUGUUGACUGAUUUUGCACACAGAAGACUUAGCAAUUGUUUAUGGGUUUUGUGAGCAAAAAACACAAGCACAAGUGAAUGAGCUGUAGCAUUGAGCUGCCUUCAUACAAUACAGAAUAAUAUCUGAGUAAUCCAUUCAAAGAAAAAAUUAUAUUAACUGUGGCUCAAAUUUUAAGAACACAGUCAUUUUAUAGAACUGAGUUUUAUAAACUUGGCUUUAAGAAACAAACAGAUCAAGACUCUAACUAAAAAAAAUCAUCUUUAGAGAAAAAAUACUUCUUCUAGCCAAAAGAAUAAAUUCCAGUUUUUCUGCUAUUCAUUUUCCCAUUUCCAAAGUAUGGGAAAGCAGAGUUUGCAAUAAUGAGGUUUAUACAUGUUAAACUACUUGGGUUUUUCCUUCUUUUGUGCAAGGUGACUCCUUAUCCACUCCCAGAAAUCUUACUUGUGCAGCUCACAGGUACCUCUGGACUCUUAAAUGGGAAAUUACAGGGUCCUGGAUGUACCACAUGAUCACCAAUAACUAUGAUUCACUGAGGUGAUCAACCAACAAAUAGUGAAAACCGAACUUGGGGUCUAAUACGUGUGGGGUUUCCAGUGGAAACAGGAAAACAUCAAGGCUGCUCAAAAAGGUAGAGCUUUCCUCUAGAAGUCCUUAUCAAAUUCUGUCCUGUUGAGCCCUAGAAAAAGUUGCAAAUAUCUAACACUGCUACUAUGUUCAGGAGUAUGGCAAAUCAGAAUUAUAUGACAGGAAGACUUAAUUUACUUAUGGUAGAAAAAUGUAACUGGUGUUUAUGAGUAAGUAUGGUAGAGGAAACAGGGGCCCUGCAGGAAUGAAAAAAAACUCUAAAAUAAACACGCACAAAAAAUUAAAAAAUAACUUUUGAGGAUUGGCACAAGAACAAAUCACUGGAACUCAACAAUAGGAUUCUAAUGGCAAAGGUACUGGAGAAACAUUCCAGUGAUAGGAGAACUACUUCUGUUUCUACAUAUGGCUUCUCAAGUGCAUGAAAGGGACAAAAUAGUUCACCAUGAGAGCAAAUGAUCCAGGAAGUCUCUUGCAGGUCAGUAACAGCAUGGCUACACCUCAGUUCCAGAACUGCCCUGGAUGAGGAACCACAUACAGGCUGAAAUAGCUGAGAAGUGCUAGAUGAGAUAUAUCUGUGGCAAUACAGUUUCCUCCUAAGCUGGUUGCAGUUCCAUUCUUAGCAUGAACAGAUUUUUUUAUUUCUGGGCUGCAAGUGUUUCAACUAGCUGGAUAGCUGCUAACUAUCUCUAAGUGCCAGCAGCAGCUCAGCUUAACCAGAGUGAGCAAAUGGGUGGCAGUGCUAGCAGCCAGUAAUUCCAGCCAAUUCCCACCACCUUGCCUUGGAGAUGAGCAGCUGCCAGCAAAAAGGGCGAACAGGCACGAGCCAAAAGUGGAUUACACUUCCAAAGUGUUUGAGAAGUGCCACUCUGGGAAGAUGAAUUGAAACAAGAUGCUGCCUUAUUCUCACCACUUCAAUGCUCAGUGACACAAACCCCAUACCUGACUCCUUGAGCAAACUGGAGGGAGAAAUUGGAUUUCCUCCCCCCUCAGUGAUGUGUUUGUGUUUCAACACUGCUCCUGACACUGCUUAAAUCAAGAAAGAAAUGAAGAACUUCUUUUCUGUGCUCAAUUCCCUUGCAAGCUACAGUUGCAUUUCCAAACACUCCAUUCAAAGAUACAGCAAUAAUUGGUGAUCUAUGUGACAGAUAUGCUGUGUUCAUACUUCUUCUCCUCUUAUUUGCCAGCACCUUGUAAAGGUAGUAAUUUUUUGGAUAAUUUUUUAUGUUCUUCACAUCGUGCACAAUGGCUGAUUUCACUGUCAAGCUACAUCUAGACUGGCAUAUAUCUGUGUAUGAUUUAUCAUAGGUUUAUUGAAGCUAUCAUUGUCAUUAUCACUUAUUUUCCUUGAAUGUGUAUCAUCUCACACAGAGCUCCUCUAUUACCCCUGAUAUGAGCAUAUCUGAGAGCGGUCACUUUAAAGACUAAUUCAGAAUAUCACAUAAUAUUUCAUCUGAUGGCACAAAACUGAUUUAUAAUUUUGCAGAAAAUUAUUGUUCCUGUUCUAUAGCAUGGUUAAUAGCUGAGGUCCAUACAGAGUGCAAUCAGGGCAUCAAGUUUUAUAUCUGGCUGCCUUUUAUUGAUGGGUUUCUUCUCUACUACAUGUGCGCUUUUACUGAAUUAUCUCUUCAUUUCUAGUGAGAUAAUUCACCCCAUCUCUGCUGUUACAGUUACUACUGGAUCUGUCAUGUAUUUAAUAAAGGGUGGUGUAAUUUUUCCAAAUACUAAAUUUCCCUUAUUUCCAUAAAUGUGAAAAUCUUAGAUAUAUAUUUUCUGUACAUUAAUGUAAAUAAAUGAGAUUUGACAAGAUGGAGAUGACAAUCUUCAGCCAGGCCAUCUGGGAACAGUGGGAUUUGUUUGCCAUUUCAUUUCUCACUCCAAAUCCUACCGUGUCCCAGCAUGCAAAGAUCUGUUAAGGAACAGUGCCAUCAGCUAAAACAUGUUGGAUAUCCUUGCGUGGCCAGCAGAACAGGACAGAGGACUAUGGCAGUGUUGAAAAAACUACAGUUAGUUUACAAGCCCUCAGAGAGCACAGAACUGGAAUUGCCAUGAAUUUCAUUGAUCCUGCAUCCUUUUAAUGUGGCAGCAAUGCCAAAUGUGCAGUGCCGUAAUUUUUGUUUCAAAAUUCAAAUCUUCAGAAAAACUCAAAACUACUUGCAGUCCUGCAGUGAAAAAGGGCUCAGGUUUGACUUCUGUUUAGUCCUCUGUGUAAAGGAAGGAGAUUUUAUGCAUGGGAAGGACAAGCACAUGGAAGUAAAAGCAGACACAAUGACACAGGAGGAAGAGGGCAAGCCCUGGUGGUUCCUAUUGCUGGACAAAUAAUUCGAUUUCUCUGUGUACAGCAGAGGUGAGAAUGUCUCCUAGAGUGGAGACAGCUUUUUUAAGGAGUUGUUCUCUUUUUCUUCUCAUAUACAUGAAGCUUAGCAACAAAGCACCGUGACCUUGGUGAAGGCACCUACACACUUCUAGAAGGAGGUAGUAUUUGCAUGGAAUUUGCUUUGAAAGGAAAUCGUAUCCUAAUAGUUUUAUACCUGUCAUUCUGCUUUUUUUUUCUGAGCAAUACUAAAGCCCUGAAUUUUCUUUGAGUCCCUGAAAAGCCUCUCAUUUAGUUAUUUAAUUUAUAUAAUGCUUGUGGUCUUGGCAGUUGGAUGCUUUGCAGGCAAGAAAGAAUUUAACAUUACAUAAGCCACCCACAACAGGUACAGAAGCUAAAUUACUGCUGUUGAUGCUAUUGAAAACCUUGACAGUCAAAUUAACAAAACAAAAAACAAAUCCAUCAAAAGCUAAACACAGCACAUCAAAUUUGCUUUACACACUCCAAACCACAAAACUUGGUUGGAUCCAAGUGACAAACUGGAAAAUACCACUGGAAAAAGCCCCACACUUGCCUUGCUUGCUCCUAGGACCAGGCUGUCUGAUGAAUAUCCCUCAUGGCCAGGCAGCAGAAGUAAGAGAUACAGACCCAUCUCAGGGUUUUCUUGGCUAUUUGCUGUUCAACAAUGUAAGCAUUCUCCUUCUCUGUAAUGUAAUGUUGGUACCACUCGCUCACAGAAGAAGGGGGUAAGGGUGAGUGCCCCCAGGAAAUUGGACACGAGUCAUAGGGAGUCAUGAGCCUGCACUAAGUCAGGCUGCUGUUUCCCUGGCAAGAUGUGUGCCCUCUCUAAUCAGUUUUGCAUGGACCAUGUGGCUCUCUAGUUCCUGAAUGCUGGUUUCAUGUAAUUAGAAAAGAUUAAGGAUGUUCAGCUCUCUUGUGUGUGCAGAGAACAGUAUGCUAACUGAUUUAACUGGGUUUCAUUCAGAACUCUAGGAAAAUAAAAUCUUGCUUUGAGAGGCAAUGUGAUCCUACAAAUUAACUCUGGGAUGAGAAGCAAUACAUUCAACAGACUGUUCCUGAAAUGUCAUGUGUACCUGGCCCACAUUGGGAAAAUCAUGAGCCUCAGCAAGAUGCAACCUACCACCCCACCUCAAACACCCCACCUCCCCCUUCCAAUUAGUCAGCCAUGAGGACUGGCUUGAUCUUCAGAGGUGUUGAGCACCUGCAGCUCAUUCUGACUUCUGCAUCUAAAAAACAAAUUCUGUGGGAGGUGUGAAUGACUAUUAUCUCUGAAAACCAAGCUAUUUGGGUAAAAAUUUCAUGCUCUUUUUAUUUUUUUUAAGGUUCUGGCUGCAUUAUGCCUUGGUUCUCCCCUUUCCGAGAUAAUAACAGUUUUACCAGCUCCAUGCGUGCGCAGUGCUUGUUACUUGGGAGAACGCUAAAUAGAGGUUGGAUGGGAUUAUGUUCCUACUGCUUCUGCAAUGAACGUGUUUCUGACAGCUGCUGGUUCCAGAAGGCACUGGAUGCCAACCACCUGCCCAAGGAGUAUUCCUGUCCAGGAAGACUUCUAAAUAAUUAAGGUGAUCUCCAUGAGUGAUCUUUUUGCAGCAAAUGAGGUCUGGAGAGAUAUUACCAACUUGGCACAUGAGGAGGAAGAGAAAGAGGAAGGGGAAGAGAAAAGAAUGUAGUGCAUAUUUGCAUUUGGGCAUCUACAGUCCUGUCUUUGUCUCUGUCUGUCUAAACUGCCUGUACCAGAACAGUCUAGAGUAGACUGAACUACAUGAUAGGUAGCAGAAUUAAUUUCUGAUAUUGUCUUCCACUACUAUUUUUGUCAGAUAUUCAUUUUCAUAGCAAAAAUAGGGUUUUCAGAAGAGAAAGAAACCUAUUUUAUCAGUUAGGAAAUCCUCUUAUUUACUACUCCAGCACAAAGACAUUUUGCAAAAUGUUUUUUCCAUUCAAUUUUUAAAUGGGAAAAAAAGCAUUUUUUAAUAGAACUCUAUACUGCAUGUGUUCCAAGCCCAUAAAAACCGGGGUAAGUCUGCAACUGCUUAAGAUGGUUCUGUAUCAGGAUUAUUUUCAAGUACUGCAUUUUAUCUAAAUUUUUGUCUUUUGUACACCUUUUCUAUAACAGAUACACAAAGGAUUUUGUGAUUGUAUGCCAUUGUAUGCUUCACAUAAAUAAAGAGAAGAUAAAAAAUUUAUAAAUCACAAUAACAAACUAUUUCAGAAAUAGAGAUUUCAUGUUAGAUACCCAAUAUACCAUUCUCAUUAUCACCAUUAUUCAUCAGGAUGACUCACACCAACAACUGAUGUCUGUUUACUUGAAAUCUUUUUCCAUUUAUUGUUCUCUACAGAAUCAGAGGUGAUAAGGUGUCUGCUUUCUUUUAUAUAUUGAUUAAAAAAGGAAAACAGAAUCUCCCUCAUUUCCAUGAGUAAGUGAGCGUUAAAUGUUUGUCUGUGUUCCUUUGUUUCUCAUGCAUUAAAGAAUGUGCAUAGGGUUGUGAGUAGUCAGCAUUUACCCAAGCACACUGACACAAGGGUGUUUCCAGAACUUGCAUUAAGUUUAUGGUAAAUUAUAGACAUAUUUUUCUGGGUAUGCUCAAUAGAAGGUUAGGAACCUAUUAUCAAAGAAGAAAUUUGACCAUACCAGGAGUAGAUUUUGCUUGGUUGUACUUUACAGUUUACUUCCUUACAUACAUUGGGAUGGUCUGUACUUGUUUGUUCCUCACUUCAUAUUACAACAAUUCAAGAUUAAUUCAGCUAAUAGCAUUGUCUCAGCAGAGAAAAAUGAGCUAUGGUUUGUUUGUCCUUUUAGUCAUAUGUGCUCUGUGAUUUUGUUUAAGUUUGAACAGCCACUUUAUGCAUCUGAAUCCUUGCUGUAGAUCAGGAAUUUUCACAUAGAACUGGAGUCCUGCAUGUGCACCCACUCUGUUAAAGGCGGUCUUCACUUGAGGUGGUAAGGGAGGUCUGAUAAAGGUACAAGAGAUUAUUUUUCUGUUGUUUCCCCUAGACAGAAGCUCAAAGGUUAAGUCCCAGCUUCCUACAUACAUUUUGAACAUUUUGAACAUUUUACCUAGAAAUUACAUCUGUUCUCUGCAUGUGAUGGGUUUGAUUUUUUAUUUUGCUAAUGCACUAUCAAUCUGGCCAUCCAAUUCAUCUUGUAAGAAGCUGGCAUUGUAUUAUGACUUUCUAUGGUAAUGAGAAAGAGGUAAAGCAUCCAAGAUGCUUUUGUUUGGUAAGUAUCUGAAUGACUAUUACAAGGAAACAGAAGUGCCAGUCUAGCACAGACUGUUCCAUCUUCAACACAGCUGCUUUUCAGAAGUUCAGUAGUAGUAGUUGACUUCCCUCAUGAACUGCAGAGAGAACAAAAAUUUAAGUCUCUGGACACUACCUUGUGAGCUGAACACUAAAAAAAAAAAUCUCUACUAGCAUGCAUUGGCUAAAUACUGUAUGGGAUCUAGCUCUUGGACUCUUGACUUACAUUCAGAUUUUAAAAGAACCUGGCAGAGAGAAAUGUGGUGACAAAAGAUGGUAAAAUUGAUUUUGUGGCAUUUUUGAUUCCUGUUGACCAAAAGUGUAAACAGGGCAUUCAUGAAGCAGGGCAGUCUGUUAUGCUGAACUAAACCAUCCAUCUGAGCCCUAAGUGAGGAUUAAAACAGACAGGUAUCAAAAUCAGUGAGUUACUCCUGAGUUAGUCAUCACUUAGUCCAGUCAUCAGACAGACAUGAUAGGAAAAGUCCUAAAGUAAGAUUGAAAACUGAUGGCUCACUAACUAACUAAAAGUAUUUGGUGCUUAUUUUCAGAACCAUUUUGAAAGCUCUCUGUGGGGCAGGGUAAUUAUCUAUUUCAUCAGAAUAUUCUACUUUUGAAAUCAAAUUGUUCCAUACUUGCCAUAGCCUGAAAGGCAUUAACAUCCCAUCAAUCAGACAGCUGUUUUGAGUGGUUGCCAGUCUCCCCUCUUCAUCCCCAUCUCCCACCCUAACUGUAGAUCAAACCUCAAGAGAAACAUUCAAAUGAGGCACAGCUCUGGGGUGGUGGCUCAUCUUCUCAGGAGUCUUUCAGAACCAACAAUUCAGUACUUUUGGAGCACAGAGUUUAGGCUCAAUUUAGGCUCAAUCAGUUUUGGGGCUCUAUUCUCCUGAUACCACUACAAGUUUUCAUAUACUACUGCAUAUGCGCACACACGCACACACACACACACACACACACACACACACUUUUUUUCUUGCACACUCCACAAUAAUAAAAAUCUGUCAGUCUUCUGUGGGAAUGCAAAGAUAAAAUAUGAAAGAGAAGAUUGUUUGAAGGAUUUGAAUUAUUUAAAACAUUUAGUUCUCAGUUUUGUAUGAGUUAGAGAUGAACCUCUGCAAUCAGAUGAUAAAUUCACAGCAAUACUCAGUGUUUCAGGACAGCAGGUAUAUUUGAAUGCAGUAAAACUGCAAAUGUUGUUAUGAAUUCCAUUCAUAUUGUAAAUUGUGUUGUCAGAGGGAGUCAGUUUCUGUAUCUUGGGUGCUCACAUUUUAUGAGAUAGUUUGCUGAGUUUAAAUGCAAGACCCAUAUCCUUCCCCUCAUUUCUAGUGAUGUAAUUUGAGCCUACUCCACCUGGGAGGAGCUCUCUUUCUGGUUAUUAUUACCUACCAACUCAGUAUAUGAAUUCUCCCUGUCAGUACUUUCAGGAUAACAUGAAUUUAGGAAAUCUGUGCCUGAAAUUCUAGCAUUUUCUCAAAUAACAGCUAUUAUGUGUCUUUUGAACACACAACACUGAAAGUUUUAAGUGAUUGUGGAUUUUUCGAGAAUGGUAACCUUGCAUUCAUCAGUGCCUUAAACCACGUUCCACAUGGGGUAUAAAAACAAAUGUUACAUUUUUAUCUUUUCAAAUUGAGGUGAACAAUUUGGUACAACCUGAGCAGAAGAUCAUAGGUUUAUCCUUUCAGUAAAGUACAACACAGAGGUGCUUGCUAACUUUAGAGUUAAAUUGAAGUCUGUCAAAACACGCGAGUCUAUCCUAGGCCUGUAUUUUCACAUAAACUUUUUCAUUCAGUUAGCUUGAAGUCACACACCUUUACAACAUCAGUUUUACCAAAAUUGCUUUUCCCAACAUAUGAACACUUCAUUUAUUCAGAGAGUGAUUUCAGUAGGAACCUGAGCAAUUCAUAUUUUUGGAAGUUUCCUGAGGUUGAUUUCCUUCAAGAUCUAUAGCUGGUGGUGCUGUUCUGGGAGAGUCCAACAUGAGAAAGCAACAAUAUAAUCAGGUGUAAUAUAUUAAGAAUUGAUCUAAUUAUAUCUUUUCUCAAGUCAAGAGAGGAUGAAGGAGUAAGUCAUUGCUGGUUAAGAUAUAUGUGUGGCACAUCAGUUACCUGCUUUAAGGGCAACUUUGUCUGGGAAGCAGAAGACAUUCUUUCUUCCAUUCCUCCACUUCCAUCCUUCUUGCUCUGGGUUAGUUACAGCUACCAGAAUGGAUAAUUUUUCCUACAUGUGGCAUGGCAUUACAAAUACAUGACUCCAUGCAUAAACAUGCAGAUAAAAAGGAAUGCGUGCGCUUUCAUGAAAAGCCUCUCCAUGUAAACUGCUUCCUUUCCUUUGACUUGCCACUGAGUGCCUCCAGCACCGAUUAAUCUGAUUACUCAUAGUAGUUUGACAUUACAUUUUCAGUGGAACACUUUUCUCAUAAUUGAGAGCAAGACUUGCCCCUGUGUAACAAGGAGACAACAUGAAUAGCACAACCUUGUACUUGUGAGGAUGGACUGAGCCCCAUUCUGAUUCCCUGCUUGAAUUUUUGGAGCUGGCAACCAGAACUUAAAGGAAAAAGAGGCAAAAAUAGGCAUACUUUCUACUAAAAGAAAAAAAAAUCACGCUUUUUCCCUACUCAUAUCAACAUCAGAGCAAAGCAUCUUCCAGUAUGAUUAGAGUAAAAAAUGCAUACCCAUCACAUGUUGUUCCAUUUUCCUUUCAAGGUAGACAAUAAAAUUCAAAUUACACUUCAUCAGUUUUUUAUUUACUUCCCAGGGAAGCUACUUCAGCCAUUUCUGUGAAACAAACUUGGGGAAAAUAUACUGUGUUGCUAGGCUGGGAUAUUAUGGUGAUGGGUUUUUCUGUUGACAUUUGCCCCACAUUUCCGAAGGAGACACCUCAGCUUUGGAAAAGGAGUGGAGCUAACAACAGUCAACUAAUUGUUUCCCUAGCUGACAUCUCUCUGUAUGCAAUUAGAUCCCAUCUCCUUAGAUACUGGACUAGUUUGAAUUUUGCCUUUAAGCCACUGGCAUUUUUCUGGUUCAUGUACCUCUGCCAUGCAGCAGGACUAUGACCCAUGCUCAAGCUGAAUCUCUCAGCCUGACUCAUUGGCAGUCUGAAACUGAUGCCCAUUUACUAUUAGCUGCAUGUGUCUGAAUUAAAACCAUUAUCUGCAAAGUGCUGCUUUCCUGAGCAGCUCUUUCACAUUUGUUACAACUGUUUAUCACCACACCGCAUUGCUGCAGAGAACUUCUGGAUCUCAAUCCUUCCUCAGCUGAGAUCUAUCAUUGCUAGAGAUUAUUUGAAACUACAGCAUGGAUGGACAAAGCUUAAUAGAAGUGAAGCCUCACAGUGAAGUGACAAAUUUCAAUAAAACAGUAUCUGUAGCAGUUUUCCAUAAUUACAAAAUUGCUUUAUCAUGCCAAUUUUAUUUUUACUUGCAGUCUAUCUUGUGUAAGUAUGGGAUAUAUUAACAAUUGGAAGUGUUAAUAUUUUUUAAGUGUUUUAAGUUCAACACAAGUUGAACUUAAUUCAAAUACUGAAACACACAGCUCCUUAUCUGGCAAAUUACCAAGUAUAAUGGAUAAUUCUUCCAAAAUUUUCUCAGAGAUUCAUGUUUUUAAUAACAUCAUGUUGACAAGAAUAACCUAAAAUAGAUCCUUUCCAAAUUUUAACUGUAGUGUGAGAACUGAAGAAAAAAUUCACAUCUAUAUGUCAAUGUUAGUAAAUGUCCCUCUCAGCUAAUACUUCAAGCUUUCUUGUGUUGGAGUUCAGAUAGAGUUCUGAUUGCCUUCAAAAAGUCUGGACCCUCCAGAAAUAAGACAUGUUUCCAGCCUAGAUCUCCUCAGUUCAUAAUGGAAAUACAUUAAUUUGCCCAGCAUGAUUUCUAUCUGUACCAUUCUCUAUGUACUGUCAA
Zonotrichia albicollis (white-throated sparrow) is the source of this 12269-nucleotide long non-coding RNA. RefSeq lists it as uncharacterized. The record is from RefSeq and is a predicted model, not a curated record. Lineage: Eukaryota; Metazoa; Chordata; Aves; Passeriformes; Passerellidae.